UACGUAGGGUGCGAGCGUUGUUCGGAAUGACUGGGCGUAAAGGGCUCGUAGGCGGCCAACUAAGUCAGACGUGAAAUCCCUCGGCUUAACCGGGGAACUGCGUCUGAUACUGGAUGGCUUGAGAUUGGGAGAGGGAUGCGGAAUUCCAGGUGUAGCGGUGAAAUGCGUAGAUAUCUGGAGGAACACCGGUGGCGAAGGCGGCAUCCUGGACCAACACUGACGCUGAGGAGCGAAAGCCAGGGGAGCAAACGGG
Molecule: ribosomal RNA, 253 nt
Filed under: uncultured bacterium
Lineage: Bacteria
Description: partial 16S ribosomal RNA
Rfam family: Bacterial small subunit ribosomal RNA
Source: RNAcentral